Molecule: long non-coding RNA, 636 nt
Filed under: Lynx pardinus (Iberian lynx)
Lineage: Eukaryota; Metazoa; Chordata; Mammalia; Carnivora; Felidae
Source: RNAcentral
CUCGAGCAUGCGGGUGGGCUAGGCUCUCAGUUGCUGCUAACUCACGUGGAUUCUUUCCUCUUAAGGCUUAGGUAAAUCCUCCAAGAUUUGACUUCCCGCGGAAACCAGUAGCAGAGCGGGUGGAGGAGGCGAGGAUGCGGCUGGUACACACCGAGUUUCCUUGGCAAGGAAAAUCGAUGGUAGGAAAGGCUGUGGGGAUUUAACUGGGGUUGAGGGUGGAGGCUCGCAAAACCACCACCGGUGCGUGGCAUUGCCAGUGCGUGCGCUUGGACCUCGCACCUCGGGAUAGUGCUCCUGACCUGCUGAGUCCGCGACGCGCCACCUCUCCUUCCGAAGUUUUAGGCCGCCUCACAGCGAGCUGCAAGAGCGGGCCGGCCGUGGCGGGCUCCUUGAACCCAAGUCCUGUCUGUCCGCUAAGUCCUGGGAGGAGAAUUUUGGCCUCACCAGAGGAAGGAGCACAAGGGGAGCGAGCGGUCCGAGAGGAAAUAGUUGGUGAAAUAUUUACAGAAGACGCUGGGAAACCGAUUUAAUUCCUGGUGGACAGUGGUGCUUCUGAUUCCCUCAGUCUGUGUCUCUCACCUACGACGCUCUCAAUCCUUGGCCUAGAAAAAAAAUCCGUAAACUUACUUCAUUAUA